RNAcentral lists this long non-coding RNA (224 nucleotides) under Capsicum annuum. Its description in RNAcentral is "long non-coding RNA (CANN_LNC010318)". Lineage: Eukaryota; Viridiplantae; Streptophyta; Magnoliopsida; Solanales; Solanaceae. The record is from RNAcentral.
AAUAUUAACAUAUGGCCAAGAAGUACAAGACCACCAAUUGAGCCACCUGAGAUUACUCCCAUGCCAAGAAGGCCAGGUAAAAAUAGAAAGAAAGCUAAGGAUGAAGCUGUUAAGAAGAAGUUUGGAAAGGCUACAAAAAAGGGAAGAAAGGUGACAUGUUCUGUGUGCAAAUGUAUUGGACACAAAAAGAAAGGAUGUCCAACUUUGGUAAGCUAAAUCUUUUC